ACACCAGCCCAUCAUCAAUUGGAGCUGACCCGGCCUAUCUUCCAAUUUCCCCUUUAAUCAACCACAACAGAGCAGCCUACGACAUCGAUCGGAAAAGAUAAGAGAAACACGCUUCUGGUUUCUAAAUCGUGAAAGUCAAACCCAGCUUCCCCCUAAAAUCGACCCAGUACUCAAUCGAUAUCAGCAAAGAUGUAACCCGAAAUCACCAUCUCCGACCCAACCUCAACCCGAUGCUCGCGUGAAUCACGUGCAUCCCACGUGAACAUGUUUGAGAAAAGCUUAGGAAGCUUCUAGAUAUGGGUGAGUUGAUGCGCUGUCCCUCUCCAACGUUUGAAUCCCAAUUUUCUCGGGUUGAUGUGUACGAUUUCGUACAAUUCUCAUUGGUUUAAAGGGUGUAUUUCGUUUGGUUCUUUUUUUUAUUGGUCCACCUGUUUGUCUCUUCUGGGAGAGAAAUCAAAAAGGGAUGCAUUCGUUUAGCUAAGGGGGAGCCCCGUUUUGAAUUUUGAAUUCCCACAGAAAAUCCCUAAGUUACCCUCAUUGGUUUCGAUAUAAAGAGCUCACUGUUGAGCUGAACAGGGAGGAAUUUUCUCUGGGGGGGCGAUUUUUGGUUCAAAAAAAAAAAAUCAAGGGAAAAUUUGGGUUCGGAAAAAUUGAGGAAGAGAAAAUCCUGAGAGAGAAAGAGAGGGCUCUCAAGAAAAAUAUUUUUUGGAUACCAAAAAAUAUACGCGUUCUUGAAAAAUAUUUGCGCCUGAAUCGUUGAAGAUCUUUGGGUGGCGAUCGAAAUCCUGACGAUAGCUGGUAGUCCCGUUUGCUGCCCUUAAGGAGAGUCCAUACGGGCUCUUUCACUUUGCAUUACAUAAUGGGCCAAUAUGGCCCAUCUUUCGUGUCAAGCCCCGAAAGGAGGUCCAAACUAAUUACAUAGCAUACGGAUGCAAGAAGUCGAAAUAGGAAUAAUGGGUUAAAAUCCCAUUCUUGAAGCGACGACGAAACCCAAGCCUCAUUUCUGUGUAUUUAUUUAUUGUCGUUAUCUAUUUAUUGUUGUCAUUUUUAUUAUUGUUUAUUUCCUUUUUUCUUUCAUUAUUCAUUCAUUUGAGCCUCGAAGCCAACGUUGUAAAUUUAAUACAGGUGGAGCGGAUUUUGGGUUGAAAACCCAACUAGAGUAGGACAGGGUCGACGGUUAAAAGCCUAAAUCACUACUUCUCCCUUUCCCUUUUUCCUUUUUACUUGCUUUAUGUAUUUCUUGCGAACCUAGUUAAAUCCUUAGUCAAGUCGCUAAAAAGUGGUUUUGCAUAAACACCAAAAUAUUCGUAAAAUUGCUUUCUUUUCAAAAAUCAAUUUUUUCAAGGUUAAUCAAAGACGAUUUUCAAACAGUCCGAAUAAUCGCAAGUUAGCGGACGUUUGAGGUGCCUAACACCUUCCUAAAAUGAUAAUAGGAACGGCUUACUUAUAAUUUCAACUAUUUUCCUAUUUUGGAUCGUUUAAAGUAACUCUCUAAAGGUUUCUUAAUUCCUUUUCAAAAUUAAGUGGCAACUCUUCAAAAAGUCAAAAUUUCCGCAAAACAACUUCAACUAGUUUCAAAUUGUAAUUAAAUCGACUUAUUUUCUCUUUAUCAUGCUAAUGUAAUUAUUUUUAUGAUUCAAUUCAGCUGGAGUGCCAACUGACGAUAGGAAUUGCCCUCCCUUUUUUUAUGAUUAUUCAUCCUGAUAUAGCACAUUUACACCAGCUCAUUCUCAGCGGUUGUAGUCUUUGGCUUUUGCAAGCUUGUUAGGCAGCAUUUUCACUUGUUUUUUAUAUUUUCUAAAUGAAUAAUGUUUCUUUGAAUAUCAAAGAAAUUUGUUUCAA
Molecule: long non-coding RNA, 1842 nt
Organism: Capsicum annuum
Lineage: Eukaryota; Viridiplantae; Streptophyta; Magnoliopsida; Solanales; Solanaceae
Exons: 2
Source: RefSeq, a predicted model, not a curated record